GACGAACCACCCAAACGUUGUUCGGAAUUACUGGGCGUAAAGCGCACGUAGGCGGAUCGUUAAGUGAGGGGUGAAAUCCCGGGGCUCAACCCCGGAACGGCCUUUCAUACUGGCGAUCUGGAGUUCGAGAGAGGUGAGUGGAAUUCCGAGUGUAGAGGUGAAAUUCGUAGAUAUUCGGAGGAACACCAGUGGCGAAGGCGGCUCACUGGCUCGAUACUGACGCUGAGGUGCGAAAGCGUGGGGAGCAAACAGG
Molecule: unclassified non-coding RNA, 253 nt
Filed under: uncultured Alphaproteobacteria bacterium
Lineage: Bacteria; Pseudomonadati; Pseudomonadota; Alphaproteobacteria
Description: contains 16S-23S intergenic spacer region
Rfam family: Bacterial small subunit ribosomal RNA
Source: RNAcentral